CUUUUUUUUUUUUUUUUAAAUACUGCAAUGGCUAUGCAUACUUUCCUAGUGCAGAAACUAGAGAAGAAUCUGGGGUGAACACAGGAAGGAACUGUUUUAUACAAUGAGACAAUGAAAGUGGUAUAUUAAGUAUUAGUUUUUGUUCAUUUGUUUGUUUGUAGGUACCGGAUAUUGAAAUGACUUGUUAAACAAAAUGGUGAUUUGGAAGGAUACUGGGUAGUUCAUAGAUGAUGAGAAGGCUUGAUAACAAGGCUAAGUUAAAAGAACAGAAACCAGGGCAUUCCAAGGAACUUAAUGACACAGCAAGAAUGCAAGAAUACGAGUGAGAGAGCGAGCAAGCAAGAGAAAUGACUAGUGACCAGUUGAGAAAGUCCUGUCUUCCACUGAGCCAUUUCACUCCUGCCCAUCUACUCUCAACAGCUCAAGAGCCGCUGAACCCUCGGAACUCUGUGAGGAUCAGAGGAGACAACAUGUGUGAAAACGCCUUACCAAUACAAAGCUGUGCAGAUGUAAAGGAUGGUUAUUCCAGAAUGGAGGUUCUUAACUUGAGAAGGGAAGAGAGAGCUAUUAUUUAUUGAUCUCCUCAUACCUCAAAUGAUGCCAAAAAGAAGAGUGAAGUCCAGUAGAAGUUGGAUGCCCUCACCUGAUCAACAAGUGGGCAAUUGCAGCCUUCACAUGCAUCUCACAGGAGAAGCACACAGAGCUGUGAGUACCCCUGGUGGGUGGAUUUGACAUGAUUAGGGAAGGCUUCCCAGAGGAAAUGUUGCUCAAGCUGAGUUCUGAUGAAUAAGCAGGGGGAACCAGAAGAAGAGGGAAGGAAAAAGUGUUCCAGACAGACGAAACACCUUCAAAGACCUGGUGGUGUGUGAGAAUGUGUGGAGUCCAGGAGCUGUAAGACUAGCAUGGUUUGAAUGAAGUUAGAGGGUGAGAGGAAGCUGGAGAACUGGGCAGAGGCCAGACCAUGCACGACAUCAGGCACCUGUGCUACACCACGUCGCUCCCACUCUAAUUCCAGCCAAGGCUACAGUGAACAGUGCCUCACCAGCUCCCAUCAGCUCUGUGCUGACCUCGUCCUAGGUGUGCCUGGAGCUUCUCUGGUUCCAGGCCUAGGCCUUUGCAGACCUGGCAGCCAUAUGUGAGCA
Molecule: long non-coding RNA, 1142 nt
Organism: Cercocebus atys (sooty mangabey)
Lineage: Eukaryota; Metazoa; Chordata; Mammalia; Primates; Cercopithecidae
Exons: 4
Source: RefSeq, a predicted model, not a curated record